This is a long non-coding RNA of Antechinus flavipes (yellow-footed antechinus), 1929 nucleotides long. RefSeq lists it as uncharacterized. NCBI's taxonomy places the organism in Eukaryota, Metazoa, Chordata, Mammalia, Dasyuromorphia, Dasyuridae. The transcript has 3 exons. The record is from RefSeq and is a predicted model, not a curated record.
AAGGAACCUGGGGGAGGAGAAAGGGCGCCAUGUGUGAGGAAGGACACUGACAAAGAUAGAUGAGGAGGAAGGAUACUGACAAAGGUAGAUGAGGAGGAAGGAUACUGACAAAGGUAGAUGAGGAGGAAGGAUACUGACAAAGGUAGAUGAGGGGGAAGGAUACUGACAAAGGUAGAUGAGGGGGAAGGAUACUGACAAAGGUAGAUGAGGGGGAAGGAUACUGACAAAGGUAGAUGAGGGGGAAGGAUACUGACAAAGGUAGAUGGGGGAAGGAUAUUGACAAAGGUAGAUGAGGAGGAAGGAUACUGACAAAGGUAGAUGAGGAGGAAGGAGCCUGGGGAAGAAGGAGCCUAGGGAAGAAGGAAGGGUACCAUGUGUGAGGAAGGAAGGUGAGCAGUAUGGCAAGUGGACUGAGAUUCUUUAACCUAAAGAAGAGAACACCAGGCAGCUAGGAAAGUAAUGGAUAGAGCACCAGCCCUGAAGUCAGGAGGACCUGAGUUAAAAUUUGACCUCAGACACUUAACACUUCCUGGCUAUGUGAGCUUGGGCAAGUCACUUAACCGCAAAUGCCUCAGCCAAAAAAAAAAAAAAAAAAAAGACUACGAAAAAGAGGAGAACACAGAAGACAAGGCAAAGCAAGAGAAGCACUUACUAGAUACCUGACAUCAAUUUAAGUGCUGAGAAUAAAAUUAAAGGGAAAAGACAGAGUCUGCCCUCAAAAACUAAGAAAGGAAAUAGGUAUUUAAGUGCUAGGAACUGUUUUAAGAACUCUACCUCAUUCCAGUGGAGGAAGACAACACAAGAAAAAGGAACUAGUUCUCAGGGUUUUAUUUUCCCUUUUGGUCUGAUUUUUCUUGCACAACAUGACAAAUAUGGAAAUAUGUUUUAAAGAAUUGCACAUAAUUAACCUAUAUUUAAUUGCUUGUGCUUGUAAAGUAAAGGAGGAAGGGAGAAAAAUUUGGAACACAAAGUCUUAUAAAAAUGAAUGUUGGGGCAACUAGGUAGCACAAUGAAUAGAGCACUAGCCCUAAAGUCAGGAGGACCCGAGUUCAAAUUUGGCCUCAGGCCUUAAUAUUUCCUAGUUGUGUGACCCUGGGCAAGUCACUUAACCCCAAUUGCCUCAGCAAAAAAAAAAAAAAAAAAAAAAAAAAGGAAUGUUGAAAACUAUCUUUACAUGUACUUGGAAAAAUUAAAUACUACUGAAAAUUUAAAAAAAAAGAAAAGAAAAGGGAUCUAGAAAUCUAGAAAGGGGAAGGGGAAGGGAAGGAGAAGUGUCCUUGUGAGGGCAUGGUUCUGGAACUUAUAGGGGGGAAAGGGAAGCAUUUAUAUAGUACCUACUAUGUGCCAGGCAUUGUUACUUUACAAAUAUUAUGUCAUUUGAUCCUCACCACAACCCUGGGAAAUAGCUAAGUCAGAAUAAGAUCCAGCAGUGAAAUAAAGGUUGGCCAGCCUGGCAGUCCCCCCAUGGAGGCCAUGGCUACCAUGAGACACAUUUAAGUGCUAGGAACUGUUUUAAGAACUCUACCUCAUUCCAGUGGAGGAAGACAACACAAGAAAAAGGAACUAGUUCUCAGAGUUUUAUUUUCCCUUUUGGUCUGAUUUUUCUUGCACAACAUGACAGAAAAGGACAUAGAUAAGGUAGAAACUCUGCAGAGAAGGACAACCAGUAUGCUGAAGGAUCACAGCCCAAGCCAUGUGGAAAAUGGGUUAGCCUCGUUCUGUCUGGACAAAACUAGGAACAGGAGGCAGAGAUUUGGAUAGGAGACUUGAGGACCAGUGGCUGGGGAUUCCCAGGGAGGUACCUUCAGAUAUUGAGAUGAGUCUGAUAGCCCCCAAUCUUGAUCACCCAGAAGCUGCAGAGAAAGGAGGGCCCCACCUCCCUUUCUGCCAUAACAGAGGGAUUUGGGGACAGUGGGGUGGUAAAGGCCU